UUCAGACGAUGCGUCAUGCAUAUCAAUAAGCGGAGGAAAAGAAACUAACAAGGAUUCCCUCAGUAACGGCGAGUGAAGCGGGAAGAGCUCAAAUUUGAAAUCUUGAAAGGUCACCUUUCACGAAUUGUAGUUUAAAGAAGUGUUUUCUGUUACGAUCGUAAUAUAAGUUCUUUGGAAUAGGACAUCACAGAGGGCGAGAAUCCCGUCUAUGAUUGCGAUUUGUAGCUUUGUGAUACACUUUCAAAGAGUCGGGUUGUUUGGGAAUGCAGCCCAAAACGGGAGGUAAAUUUCUUCUAAGGCUAAAUAUUGGCGAGAGACCGAUAGCGAACAAGUACCGUGAGGGAAAGAUGAAAAGAACUUUGAAAAGAGAGUUAAAUAGUACGUGAAAUCGUCAAAAGGGAAGCGUUUAACACCAGUGUUGUUUUCUGAAAAUCAACCUCUGUUAGCUUUAUGCAUGUUUGUUUAGACCUAAUCAGCUAUCUUGCAUGUUCUAUUGUUUGCAGUGGUGCACUUUUCAGUUUACAGGUCAACAUCAGUUUUUUUUACCGUAAAAAAGUUAAAGAAAGGUAGCUCAUGGCUCCGGUCGUGAGUGUUAUAGUCUUUUUCCUAUGCGGUAGGAGAGACUGAGGUCUGCAGUGUAGGCUAUUUGGCUAGAUACUCAGGUGCUAUGUGAUACCAUUUCAUAAACAACUUGUUGAUUAUGUUUUGUCUAUUGCAUACUCGCUUGUACUAUCAUACCUACGCUUAGGAUGUUGAAGACUCUACAGAGAUA
RNAcentral lists this ribosomal RNA (772 nucleotides) under uncultured Neocallimastigales. Its description in RNAcentral is "partial large subunit ribosomal RNA". It matches the Rfam family "Eukaryotic large subunit ribosomal RNA", at positions 18 to 640 of the family's 3401-position model. The record is from RNAcentral. Lineage: Eukaryota; Fungi; Neocallimastigomycota; Neocallimastigomycetes; Neocallimastigales.